RNAcentral lists this ribosomal RNA (429 nucleotides) under Gemmatimonadota bacterium. RNAcentral's name for it is "Gemmatimonadetes bacterium partial 16S ribosomal RNA". It matches the Rfam family "Bacterial small subunit ribosomal RNA", at positions 355 to 776 of the family's 1533-position model. The record is from RNAcentral. Lineage: Bacteria; Pseudomonadati; Gemmatimonadota.
UAGGGUAUCUUCGGCAAUGGACGAAAGUCUGACCGAGCAACGCCGCGUGAGUGAAGAAGGUUUUCGGAUCGUAAAACUCUGUUGUUAGAGAAGAACAAGGACGUUAGUAACUGAACGUCCCCUGACGGUAUCUAACCAGAAAGCCACGGCUAACUACGUGCCAGCAGCCGCGGUAAUACGUAGGUGGCAAGCGUUGUCCGGAUUUAUUGGGCGUAAAGCGAGCGCAGGCGGUUUCUUAAGUCUGAUGUGAAAGCCCCCGGCUCAACCGGGGAGGGUCAUUGGAAACUGGGAGACUUGAGUGCAGAAGAGGAGAGUGGAAUUCCAUGUGUAGCGGUGAAAUGCGUAGAUAUAUGGAGGAACACCAGUGGCGAAGGCGGCUCUCUGGUCUGUAACUGACGCUGAGGCUCGAAAGCGUGGGGAGCAAACAGG